UUAUUUUAAAAAAAUAUAUAUAUAAAAUAUAAAUAUUUAUGAAUUUAGUGGGUUAAGUUUAGUGAAGAGUUUAAGUAUUAAUAAAGAAAGGUUAUAUAUCUAUGUAGUUAUUUGGAAAAAGGAAAAGAGUAGUCUUCAUGUUAAAAAGGAAAGGGGGAAAAUAAAAGAAUAAGAAAAGAAAAGAAAAGAAGCAAACUACGUUCAUAUCAUUUCUUCCAUCUUAAUUCUCACCAUCAACCUCUCACAAUCUUCAUCACACAAAUAACACUACCACCUUCAACCUCUCUAUCUUUCCGGCGCCUCAACUACAACACAACAAUCUCUAUCUAGCGGCAAGCGGCACCGUGAGGAAUAGGUUCAACAAAAAAAAGUCGGAUUUUGGUGCGUUUGAGGUUUGGGGUGCGUUUUAAGGGUUGAUUUCACAAGCUUUCUUCACCAUUAAUCUUCCAUAGUAGUGGAUAAGUUAAGUUCUUAAUUUAAUUUUAGUUUUCUCAAAGUUUAUGAAGUUAGGGUUUUUAUAAUUGAAAUUGAAUUGGGGGUUUUUGAUUGUGAAUGUUGGGUGUAGUUUGAUUUAGUGAGAUUGUUUCAUGAUAAUAAUGAGUUUAUGAACAAGACUUGAAAUUCGUAUAAAUCACAGGUCAGUUUCGUAAUUCAUGUUUUUCAACAGUUUCCGGGUGUUUUUCGCAAAAAUACUAUUUCACAAAAGUUGUUCAUAUCGAAAUUCUACUCAAGUUAGGCUCAAGAAACGUUUGGUUCGGAGUUCGAAUGAGGAAGUUAUGCCCAUUUUUAUUUUCUGCUGAAAUUAAUAAAUCUAGUUUCGAGUGUUUUAAGUUUGAAUGUUUUUCCUAAUGGAUUUUAAGUAUCUAAAUAUAUAUUAUGAAGCUUAGGUGUUGGUUUUAUAUAAACUAAGAGAGAUUUUAGUAUUGUUAGUAUGAGUUAAUUAUGUCAUUUGAAGUGAGGCUCAUAAUUUAUAAAACUAGAGUUAAGCAAAGCUCAUUAACUAGUUAAGCCAAGUCUAUUAUUACCUAAUGAGUACAUAUAUGUUUAUAUUGUAGAUUCCGAUUUCAUAGAGGAGCCGUAUUGACUGCUUGACAUAGUUGAUUUGUUGUAUUUUAAAAGGUACAUGAAGAUUUGCAAGUGGGGUGUGGGCUGAGAGCAACGUUCCACUAGCUUAGUUGAAAUAUAGUAGUUCUAUUUCCGUUGCACUAUAUAUAUAUAUAUAUAUAUAUAUAUAUAAUAUAUCAUCAUUUUGGAACUUAAGGUUGUAAAUAUUAAUUUACUUAAACCUUUACACGUUUGGAUUGUAAUAGUUUAAUUUAGUUGUUGCUUUAAUAUUAAUUCAGUUAGGUAGUUAUCCUUAACGGUUAUUCCUACAAUAACCGUGGAAUAACACUUUUGGAUUUCGAGUACU
Beta vulgaris subsp. vulgaris (sugar beet) is the source of this 1411-nucleotide long non-coding RNA. RefSeq lists it as uncharacterized. The transcript is spliced from 2 exons. The record is from RefSeq and is a predicted model, not a curated record. NCBI's taxonomy places the organism in Eukaryota, Viridiplantae, Streptophyta, Magnoliopsida, Caryophyllales, Amaranthaceae.